This 342-nucleotide long non-coding RNA is filed under the name Amborella trichopoda. RNAcentral's name for it is "long non-coding RNA (ATRI_LNC002143)". Lineage: Eukaryota; Viridiplantae; Streptophyta; Magnoliopsida; Amborellales; Amborellaceae. The record is from RNAcentral.
CAAUGGUUUAAAAACCGGAUCGGUGACCCGGAUCGGGCUUUUCAAAAACCGAUCCGGAUCGGCGAAUCGGCGAUCCGGAUCGGAAUCGGGUGAAUCGGUCAGAAUAAAGCUUCAAAAAAAUCCGAAAAAAUUAUUAAAAUUCAUUAUAAAUAUUGGUUUUUAGGAAUUCAAUAAAAAAUGAAGGUACUCCAUUAAGAAUUUUCAUGUUUUUGAAUGAAUAUGCAAAUAUUGAUAUGUUCUUUCCCUGCAUGAACCGCCGUUCAGCAUUUAAUUUACAGUAUUUCGUGCUCAUCCCUACACUGUUGCUGUUGGGACUCGAUAUGUGAAUAAUAUGGUUGGGAU